Molecule: ribosomal RNA, 570 nt
Filed under: Lilapila oculisporella
Lineage: Eukaryota; Fungi; Ascomycota; Orbiliomycetes; Orbiliales; Orbiliaceae
Description: eukaryotic LSU rRNA
Source: RNAcentral
GUAGGUGAACCUGCGGAAGGAUCAUUAAAAAAGAUACGAGGUUGUCCCUCGGCAUGAGUACGCCCUCCACUGGCUCCGGCUUCAUGCUGGCCGACUGUGGGGGAUACACAUCCACCCUGUGUGAAACACCUGUUGCUUUGGCAGCUCUUCUCGCGAAGGUCAGUCUGUCAAAAGCUCAAAAGAAACUCUUUGUUUAUAAACAUGGUCGUAAAAGAAAUGAAAAUUCUUUAAAACUUUCAACAACGGAUCUCUUGGUUCUCGCAUCGAUGAAGAACGCAGCGAAACGCGAUAGGUAAUGUGAAUUGCAGAAUUCAGUGAAUCAUCGAAUCUUUGAACGCACAUUGCGCCUUUUGGUAUUCCGAGAGGCAUGUCUGUUUGAGCGUCAUUACAAACCCUCAAGCUUAGCUUGGUGUUGAGCCCCUYUUUCCGGCUCUAAUGUGGUACGCUUGCGGGCUCUCCCWUGAUUACAACGUAGUAAAACUUCUUUCGUUGUGUUGGAAGGGGAGCCUCGCCUGAAAUCAAAUCUCAGAGUUUGACCUCAGAUCAGACAAGGAUACCCGCUGAACUUAA